GUUUGAUCAUGGCUCAGAUUGAACGCUGGCGGCAGGCCUAACACAUGCAAGUCGAACGGUAACAGGAAGCAGCUUGCUGCUUUGCUGACGAGUGGCGGACGGGUGAGUAAUGUCUGGGAAACUGCCUGAUGGAGGGGGAUAACUACUGGAAACGGUGGCUAAUACCGCAUAACGUCGCAAGACCAAAGAGGGGGACCUUCGGGCCUCUUGCCAUCAGAUGUGCCCAGAUGGGAUUAGCUUGUUGGUGAGGUAACGGCUCACCAAGGCGACGAUCCCUAGCUGGUCUGAGAGGAUGACCAGCCACACUGGAACUGAGACACGGUCCAGACUCCUACGGGAGGCAGCAGUGGGGAAUAUUGCACAAUGGGCGCAAGCCUGAUGCAGCCAUGCCGCGUGUAUGAAGAAGGCCUUCGGGUUGUAAAGUACUUUCAGCGGGGAGGAAGGUGUUGUGGUUAAUAACCGCAGCAAUUGACGUUACCCGCAGAAGAAGCACCGGCUAACUCCGUGCCAGCAGCCGCGGUAAUACGGAGGGUGCAAGCGUUAAUCGGAAUUACUGGGCGUAAAGCGCACGCAGGCGGUCUGUCAAGUCGGAUGUGAAAUCCCCGGGCUCAACCUGGGAACUGCAUUCGAAACUGGCAGGCUUGAGUCUUGUAGAGGGGGGUAGAAUUCCAGGUGUAGCGGUGAAAUGCG
Molecule: ribosomal RNA, 690 nt
Filed under: Salmonella enterica subsp. enterica serovar Panama
Lineage: Bacteria; Pseudomonadati; Pseudomonadota; Gammaproteobacteria; Enterobacterales; Enterobacteriaceae
Description: bacterial SSU rRNA
Rfam family: Bacterial small subunit ribosomal RNA
Source: RNAcentral